AUUGAACGCUGGCGGCAGGCCUAACACAUGCAAGUCGAGCGGAGCGGCGGAAGGGUGAGUAAUGCCUAGGAAUCUGCCUGGUAGUGGGGGAUAACGUCCGGAAACGGGCGCUAAUACUGCAGACUUUCAGAUGAGCCUAGGUGGGAUUAGCUAGUUGGUGGGGUAAAGGCCAACAAAGGCGACGAUCCGUAACUGGCCGGAGAGGAUGAUCAGUCAACCUGGAACGGAGACACGGUCCAGACUCCUACGGAAGGCAGCAGUGGGGAAUAUUGGACAAGGGGCGAAAGCCUGACCCGGCCAUGCCGCUGGUUGGAAGAAGGUCUCCGGAUUGUAAAGUACUUUCAGUUGGGAGGCGGUACCAUCAGAAUAAGCACCGGCUAACUUCGUGCCAGCAGCCGCGGUAAUUC
RNAcentral lists this ribosomal RNA (407 nucleotides) under uncultured bacterium. RNAcentral describes it as "partial 16S ribosomal RNA". It matches the Rfam family "Bacterial small subunit ribosomal RNA", at positions 30 to 526 of the family's 1533-position model. The record is from RNAcentral.